This 906-nucleotide ribosomal RNA is filed under the name Salmonella enterica subsp. enterica serovar Dublin. RNAcentral's name for it is "bacterial LSU rRNA". It matches the Rfam family "Bacterial large subunit ribosomal RNA", at positions 1 to 937 of the family's 2925-position model. The record is from RNAcentral. Lineage: Bacteria; Pseudomonadati; Pseudomonadota; Gammaproteobacteria; Enterobacterales; Enterobacteriaceae.
GGGUUGUGAGGUUAAGCGACUAAGCGUACACGGUGGAUGCCCUGGCAGUCAGAGGCGAUGAAGGGCGUGCUAAUCUGCGAUAAGCGCCGGUAAGGUGAUAUGAACCGUUAUAACCGGCGAUACCCGAAUGGGGAAACCCAGUGUGAUUCGUCACACUAUCAUUAACUGAAUCCAUAGGUUAAUGAGGCGAACCGGGGGAACUGAAACAUCUAAGUACCCCGAGGAAAAGAAAUCAACCGAGAUUCCCCCAGUAGCGGCGAGCGAACGGGGAGGAGCCCAGAGCCUGAAUCAGCAUGUGUGUUAGUGGAAGCGUCUGGAAAGGCGCGCGAUACAGGGUGACAGCCCCGUACACAAAAGCGCAUGUGCUGUGAGCUCGAUGAGUAGGGCGGGACACGUGGUAUCCUGUCUGAAUAUGGGGGGACCAUCCUCCAAGGCUAAAUACUCCUGACUGACCGAUAGUGAACCAGUACCGUGAGGGAAAGGCGAAAAGAACCCCGGCGAGGGGAGUGAAAAAGAACCUGAAACCGUGUACGUACAAGCAGUGGGAGCACAGGUUUACCUGUGUGACUGCGUACCUUUUGUAUAAUGGGUCAGCGACUUAUAUUCUGUAGCAAGGUUAACCGAAUAGGGGAGCCGGAGGGAAACCGAGUCUUAAUUGGGCGUUAAGUUGCAGGGUAUAGACCCGAAACCCGGUGAUCUAGCCAUGGGCAGGUUGAAGGUUGGGUAACACUAACUGGAGGACCGAACCGACUAAUGUUGAAAAAUUAGCGGAUGACCUGUGGCUGGGGGUGAAAGGCCAAUCAAACCGGGAGAUAGCUGGUUCUCCCCGAAAGCUAUUUAGGUAGCGCCUCGUGAAUUCAUCUCCGGGGGUAGAGCACUGUUUCGGCUAGGGGGCCAUCCCGGCUU